Homo sapiens (human) is the source of this 287-nucleotide long non-coding RNA. Ensembl annotates it as PRR34 antisense RNA 1. Its record names the gene PRR34-AS1. The record is from Ensembl. Lineage: Eukaryota; Metazoa; Chordata; Mammalia; Primates; Hominidae.
UGGACAAACGGCAGGCAAGCCCCCUGUGCUCCUCGCUGGAUUGAGCUUCUAGAGCCUCAGAGAUGGAAUUCGCCGUUUUGCCGCGAUUUGGCGUUAACUUAUUGACCCAUGGGGAGGAGGGUCACUUCCCGUGAAAAGAAGGCAGAGAUGUUUUGCUGUGCCCAGUGUGAGGAAGCGAAGGAAAAGAAAGAUCUUUUGAAAAUGUGUACAUCUACUUGCAGCUUGAAAAUUCCAAGUGCCAGACAUUUUUCUUGGAGGAAAUAAAUGUCUUCAAUUUAUUCAUCUUA